UAGCUCAGUCAGUAAAGAGUCUGCCUGCAAUGCAGGAGACCCGGGUUCGAUUCCUGG
This 57-nucleotide transfer RNA is filed under the name Bos taurus (domestic cattle). It matches the Rfam family "tRNA", at positions 8 to 63 of the family's 71-position model. Rfam says of the family: Transfer RNA (tRNA) molecules are approximately 80 nucleotides in length. Their secondary structure includes four short double-helical elements and three loops (D, anti-codon, and T loops). Further hydrogen bonds mediate the characteristic L-shaped molecular structure. tRNAs have two regions of fundamental functional importance: the anti-codon, which is responsible for specific mRNA codon recognition, and the 3' end, to which the tRNAs corresponding amino acid is attached (by aminoacyl-tRNA synthetases). tRNAs cope with the degeneracy of the genetic code in two manners: having more than one tRNA (with a specific anti-codon) for a particular amino acid; and 'wobble' base-pairing, i.e. permitting non-standard base-pairing at the 3rd anti-codon position. RNAcentral also lists the same sequence under 3 other names. Lineage: Eukaryota; Metazoa; Chordata; Mammalia; Artiodactyla; Bovidae. The record is from Rfam by way of RNAcentral.